RNAcentral lists this ribosomal RNA (468 nucleotides) under uncultured bacterium. RNAcentral describes it as "partial 16S ribosomal RNA". It matches the Rfam family "Bacterial small subunit ribosomal RNA", at positions 28 to 507 of the family's 1533-position model. The record is from RNAcentral.
GACGAACGCUGGCGGCGUGCUUAACACAUGCAAGUCGAACGGAAAGGCCCUGCUUUUGUGGGUUGCUCGAGUGGCGAACGGGUGAGUAACACGUGAGUAACCUGCCCUUUACUUUGGGAUAACUUCAGGAAACUGGGGCUAAUACCGGAUAGGAGCUCCUGCUGCAUGGUGGGGGUUGGAAAGUUUCGGCGGUUGGGGAUGGACGCGCGGCUUAUCAGCUUGUUGGUGGGGUAGUGGCUUACCAAGGCUUUGACGGGUAGCCGGCCUGAGAGGGUGACCGGCCACAUUGGGACUGAGAUACGGACCAGACUCGUACGGGAGGCAGCAGUGGGGAAUAUUGCACAAUGGGCGGAAGCCUGAUGCAGCAACGCCGCGUGCGGGAUGACGGCCUUCGGGUUGUAAACCGCUUUCGCCUGUGACGAAGCGUGAGUGACGGUAAUGGGUAAAGAAGCACCGGCUAACUACGUG